AAAAGUUACAAAGGGCGUACGGCGGAUGCCUAGGCUCUCAGAGGCGAUGAAGGACGUGAUAAGCUGCGAUAAGCUGCGGGGAUUGGCACAUACGAUUUGAUCCGCAGAUUUCCGAAUGGGGCAACCCGUCAGGUUGAAGGCCUGACACCUAUUUAUAGGGGCGAACGUGGGGAACUGAAACAUCUAAGUACCCAUAGGAAAAGAAAUCAAUUGAGAUUCCGCAAGUAGUGGCGAGCGAACGCGGAUUAGCCCUAAAGAUUAUAUAAGUUUAACAGAAUAACCUGGAAAGGUUAACCGUAGAAGGUGAUAGUCCUGUACGUGAAAGGCUUAUAUGAUUGAUAACGAGUAAGGCGGGACACGAGAAAUCCUGUUUGAAUAUGGGGGGACCAUCCUCCAAGGCUAAAUACUCCUGAGAGACCGAUAGUGAACUAGUACUGUGAAGGAAAGGUGAAAAGUAUAUCUAGAAGAUAGUUGAAAUAGAACCUGAAACCGUACGCCUACAAGCGGUCGGAGCACAUAAAGUGUGACGGCGUGCCUUUUGCAUAAUGAGCCUACGAGUUAAUGUUUCUGGCAAGGUUAAGCACUUCAGGUGCGCAGCCGUAGCGAAAGCGAGUCUGAAUAGGGCGUAUAGUCAGAAGUAUUAGACGCGAAACCUUGUGAUCUACCCAUGGGCAGGUUGAAGCUUUGGUAACACAAAGUGGAGGACCGAACCGGUUGACGUUGAAAAGUCUUCGGAUGACCUGUGGGUAGGGGUGAAAGGCCAAUCAAACUGGGAAAUAGCUCGUACUCCCCGAAAUGCAUUUAGGUGCAGCGUUUAGUAAAGUAUAUUAGAGGUAGAGCUACUGAUUGGAUGCGGGGGCUUCACCGCCUACCAAUUCCUGAUAAACUCCGAAUGCUAAUAUAUGUUUCUAGGCAGUGAGGGCAUGGGUGCUAAGGUCCAUGUCCGAGAGGGAAAGAACCCAGACCAUCAGCUAAGGUCCCCAAAUGUAUGCUAAGUUGAAAAAACGCGGUUGGAUUGCACAGACAGCUAGGAUGUUAGCUUGGAAGCAGCUAUUCAUUUAACGAGUGCGUAACAGCUCACUAGUCGAGCGAUCCGGCAUGGAUAAUAAUCGGGCAUAAGCAUACUACCGAAGCUAUGGAUUACAUCGUAAGAUGUACUGGUAGGGGAGCAUUCUAUCGGCGCUGAAGCAGAUUUGUAAAGAUUUGUGGAGCUUAUAGAAAAGAAAAUGUAGGCAUGAGUAACGAUAAAAUCAGUGAGAAACUGAUUCGCCGUAAGAUCAAGGUUUCCUAAGCUAUGCUAAUCAGCUUAGGGUUAGUCGGGUCCUAACAUGUACCCUUUGGGGGAAGUGGAUGGCAAACGGGUUAAUAUUCCCGUACCUGCUCUCAACAAAAGUGACGAAUGAAUGUAUUAGGUGCGUACUGACGGAAUAGUACGUUGAACCUACGUAAAGUAGGGAUAGUACACUAAGGCUUCGGCUGGCGUGAUAAUCCUAAGAAGUUUGUUCCAAGAAAUAGCGAGAGAAGCAGCCCGUACCGUAAACCGACACAGGUGAUCGAGGAGAGUAUCCUCAGGCGCUCGAGUGAGUCGUGGUUAAGGAAUUAGGCAAAAUCGACCUGUAACUUCGGGAGAAAGGUCGCUCCGCUCCGGCGGAGCCUCAGUAAAAAGGCCCAGGCGACUGUUUAUCAAAAACACAGAGCUUUGCAAAAUCGAAAGAUGACGUAUAAGGCUUGACACCUGCCCGGUGCUGGAAGGUUAAGGAAGGAAGUUAGGGUAACCGAAGCUUUUGACUGAAGCCCCAGUAAACGGCGGCCGUAACUAUAACGGUCCUAAGGUAGCGAAAUUCCUUGUCGGGUAAGUUCCGACCUGCACGAAUGGUGUAACGAUCUGGGCACUGUCUCAACCACGAGCUCGGUGAAAUUGUAGUAUCGGUGAAGAUGCCGGUUAAUCGCAACGGGACGAAAAGACCCUGUGAACCUUUACUAUAGCUUCGUAUUGACUUUGGGUAAAUAAUGUGUAGGAUAGGUGGGAGACUAUGAAUUAGCAUCGCUAGGUGUUAAGGAGUCGUUGUUGAAAUACCACCCUUUAUUUAUCUGAAGCCUAACUCCAGUUGGAGGACAUUGCGUGGUGGGUAGUUUGACUGGGGUGGUCGCCUCCAAAAGAGUAACGGAGGCUUUCAAAGGUACCCUCAGCACGCUUGGUAACCGUGCGUAGAGUAUAAUGGCAUAAGGGUGCUUGACUGUGAGACCAACAAGUCGAUCAGGUGCGAAAGCAGGACAUAGUGAUCCGGUGGUUCCGUAUGGAAGGGCCAUCGCUCAAAGGAUAAAAGGUACUCCGGGGAUAACAGGCUAGUCUCCCCCAAGAGCUCACAUCGACGGGGAGGUUCGGCACCUCGAUGUCGGCUCGUCACAUCCUGGGGCUGGAGAAGGUCCCAAGGGUUGGGCUGUUCGCCCAUUAAAGUGGCACGCGAGCUGGGUUCAGAACGUCGUGAGACAGUUCGGUCUCUAUCUGUUGUGAUCGUUAGAAGUUUGAGCGGACUUGACUCUAGUACGAGAGGACCGUGUUGAACAAACCUCUGGUGUAUCAGUUGUACCGCCCGGUGCACUGCUGAGUAGCUACGUUUGGAUGAGAUAAGCACUGAAAGCAUAUAAGUGCGAAACUCGCCGCAAGAUAAGACUUCUUUAAAGGGUCGUGGAAGACUACCACGUUGAUAGGCUAUAGAUGUAAAGGCAGCGAUGCCAAAGUCGAGUAGUACUAAUUACCCAUAGACUUUUUUUAA
RNAcentral lists this ribosomal RNA (2777 nucleotides) under Weeksella massiliensis. Its description in RNAcentral is "bacterial LSU rRNA". It matches the Rfam family "Bacterial large subunit ribosomal RNA". The record is from RNAcentral. Lineage: Bacteria; Pseudomonadati; Bacteroidota; Flavobacteriia; Flavobacteriales; Weeksellaceae.